GUUUGUUUGUUUUUUGUUUUUUUGUAGGAAUGACGCACUUAAUGACCCCUUGUUCACACAUCCAUUUUGCAACAUGUUUGAGUCAAGCUUUUUUGGUUCCACUAGCAAUCCAUUUAUGGAUCCGUGUGCUGGAUUUCUUGAACGUCAGCCCCUCACAACCCAGUAGAUCUAAUGGACCAAUUAUUGAAAAGUUGAAUAUAAUGAUGAAAAUGAAGGAAAUGAAAGAGGAAAGAACAAGAAUAAUAAUUCAAGAAAGCAUUAGAGGUCUAGCAAUAAAACUUUUGUUGAGGAUCCAGACGAUUAAGCUUCUGUAAGUUUUGUUUUUUGUUUUUAUCUAGCUUGCGGGAAUUUGGUUUCCACAUUACAUUGAUCUUUCGAGUGUUUGAUUAAAAUGGAUUGAUGUAUUGUCAUUUCAGAGAAAAGAAGUAAGCAAAUGGCUCCCACAAAUGAUUUUUUACUUGAUGCAAGUGUAAGGCUGCAGCCCAAAAAAGGAACUUCACUUUCCAAAGCUCCACGUUAAUUAUAGUGGUGCAAAUGGUGCAUAUUAGUCAUCGUCUAGAACAAGGACGAUGGGUAGUGAUGGAGUAAGUAAAAUUCAAGUAAAAGUGAUUCUCUUUUUGAAUUUUCUGUUGGGUUCGCUUCUUAAUUUUACUUUAUAACAGUGGAAGAACAUAAGCGAAUUCAUCUAUAGGUCAAGCAUCUCAUAUACUGUCAAGGGGGAUCUAUGAGAGUGUCAUCUAUGGUCCAUUGAUGUUCAUCAUGUCUCAUUUUUUUCAUAUAUAAAUUUGAGUUAUUAAUUUAUAUAUAUUCCAUCUACAAUACUAGAGGUAAAUAUGUUGUGCUAUUGUCGGGUCAUUCUGUGACACAAAAACAAAACUCAGAUGGUAGGAUAGACACAAUGUUAACCCUACAUAUCCUUAAUGAAGUUGUGCAUUACUAUUACAUGAUACUUUUUGUGUAACUUUCAGUACUUCACUGUCAAUUAGUUUUCUUCCUUGUUUAGAU
This 1005-nucleotide long non-coding RNA is filed under the name Olea europaea subsp. europaea. The record is from RNAcentral. Lineage: Eukaryota; Viridiplantae; Streptophyta; Magnoliopsida; Lamiales; Oleaceae.